This is a small nuclear RNA of Prosopis cineraria, 103 nucleotides long. NCBI's taxonomy places the organism in Eukaryota, Viridiplantae, Streptophyta, Magnoliopsida, Fabales, Fabaceae. The record is from RefSeq and is a predicted model, not a curated record.
GUCCUUAUCAGGAUAUAUGAUAAAAUUACAACGAUACAAAGAAAAUUAACAUGCCUCCUGUACAAGGAUAACAUGUACAAUUCGAGAACUAAAACAAUAGGAG